GAGACUCUGUGCGCGUGCAUAUCAAUAAGCGGAGGAAAAGAAACUAACUAGGAUUCCCUUAGUAACGGCGAGUGAAGCGGGAAGAGCUCAAAUUUGAAAUCUUCAAGGGUUUCCCUUUACGAAUUGUAGUUUAAAGAAGUGUUUUCUGUUGGAGUUUCGGUAAAAGUUCUUUGGAAUAGGACAUCAUAGAGGGUGAGAAUCCCGUAUUUGACCGUUACUUUCCAGCUGUGUGAUACACUUUCAAAGAGUCGGAUUGUUUGGGAAUGCAGUCCAAAAUGGGUGGUAAAUUUCAUCUAAAGCUAAAUAUUGGCGAGAGACCGAUAGCGAACAAGUACCGUGAGGGAAAGAUGAAAAGAACUUUGAAAAGAGAGUUAAACAGUACGUGAAAUUGUCAAAAGGGAAGCGUUUGACACCAGUGUUGUUUAGUUGAAAAUCAAUUCAAUAGUUUUUGAUUCUAAGUAGUAUUGACUUCAUCAGCUUGCUGCUUUCUUCUCAGAAAUUAUUGAAUGCACUUUUCAGUUAACAAGUCAACAUCAAUUUCUUUUGUUGUAAAAGGGUAAGAGGAAGGUGGCUUGCGCUUCGGCUCAAGUGUUUAUAGCCUUUUAUCUCUGCAAUCGGAGAGAUUGAGGUCUGCAGCGUAGAUCCUUCGGGGUUAGAUACAUUGGUGCUAAGCUAUAGCCUUGUAUAGACAACUUGUUGACUAUGCUCAGUCAUGUAGCUUACUCGCUGAUGCUAUUUUACCUACGCUUAGGAUGUUGACAGCAGUAUAGACUGU
This 775-nucleotide ribosomal RNA is filed under the name uncultured Neocallimastigales. RNAcentral describes it as "partial large subunit ribosomal RNA". It matches the Rfam family "Eukaryotic large subunit ribosomal RNA", at positions 23 to 638 of the family's 3401-position model. Lineage: Eukaryota; Fungi; Neocallimastigomycota; Neocallimastigomycetes; Neocallimastigales. The record is from RNAcentral.